Long non-coding RNA from Stegodyphus dumicola, 443 nucleotides. NCBI's taxonomy places the organism in Eukaryota, Metazoa, Arthropoda, Arachnida, Araneae, Eresidae. The record is from RefSeq and is a predicted model, not a curated record.
AAAUGAUUAGCUGUAAUAAAUAGCUACCUUUAAUUACUGUUUUUUAUACAUAUAUGCGAGUUGUAAUUCUGGAUGAUCCACCUGGAGCUUUAAAUUAAUUUUAUUUAUUUUCCUUUAGUGCUAUCAGGAGGAAAUGAAAACAGCUAAUGUAGUUGUCACUAAAAAUCGUCAAAUGACGGUAGAUCGCCAGAAAUUUGGAGAAUAUGCGCAAACGCACAGCAAUAACAAUAUUGGAAGAGCUAUGAAAGAAUGUUACGAUUCCACUACUGCUACCGACGAUAUGUACAAAGAGGCUGCCAGAGCAAGCCAGUGCGUCUUUGAAAAAGUUAAAGCGACAUGCAGAAACUGAAGACAGAGUUCUGAGAGGAAGUUCCUGUAUUCAGUGCCUUGAUACUACUUUUCUAUUAUUCAGGAAAUAAAACGAUAUAUAUUACGGUCGCUAA